UAGGGAAUCUUCGGCAAUGGACGGAAGUCUGACCGAGCAACGCCGCGUGAGUGAAGGAGGUUUUCGGAUCGUAAAGCUCUGUUGUAAGAGAAGAACGAGUGUGAGAGUGGAAAGUUCACACUGUGACGGUAUCUUACCAGAAAGGGACGGCUAACUACGUGCCAGCAGCCGCGGUAAUACGUAGGUCCCGAGCGUUGUCCGGAUUUAUUGGGCGUAAAGCGAGCGCAGGCGGUUAGAUAAGUCUGAAGUUAAAGGCUGUGGCUUAACCAUAGUAGGCUUUGGAAACUGUUUAACUUGAGUGCAAGAGGGGAGAGUGGAAUUCCAUGUGUAGCGGUGAAAUGCGUAGAUAUAUGGAGGAACACCGGUGGCGAAAGCGGCUCUCUGGCUUGUAACUGACGCUGAGGCUCGAAAGCGUGGGGAGCAAACAGGAUUAGAUACCCUGGUAGUCCACGCUGUAAACGAUGAGUGCUAGGUGUUAGACCCUUUCCGGGGUUUAGUGCCGUAGCUAACGCAUUAAGCACUCCGCCUGGGGAGUACGACCGCAAGGUUG
RNAcentral lists this ribosomal RNA (550 nucleotides) under uncultured bacterium. Its description in RNAcentral is "bacterial SSU rRNA". It matches the Rfam family "Bacterial small subunit ribosomal RNA", at positions 355 to 896 of the family's 1533-position model. The record is from RNAcentral.